This 393-nucleotide ribosomal RNA is filed under the name uncultured bacterium. Its description in RNAcentral is "partial 16S ribosomal RNA". It matches the Rfam family "Bacterial small subunit ribosomal RNA", at positions 523 to 918 of the family's 1533-position model. The record is from RNAcentral.
AUACGUAGGGAGCAAGCGUUAUCCGGAUUUAUUGGGCGUAAAGCGCGCGUAGGCGGCUUGUUAAGUCAGGUGUUAAAGGCAAGGGCUCAACCCCUGUUCGCACCUGAAACUGGCAGGCUUGAGUUUGGUAGAGGAAAACGGAAUUCCUAGUGUAGCGGUGAAAUGCGUAGAUAUUGGGAAGAACCCCGGUGGCGAAGGCGGUUCUCUGGGCCACAACGGACUCUAAGGUGCGAAAGCUAGGGGAGAAAACAGGAUUAGAUACCCUGGUAGUCCUAGCCGUAAACGAUGGAUACUAGGUGUGGGGAGGCAUGCGCGCCGUGCCGCAUCUAACGCAUUAAGUGGCCCGCCUGGGGAGUACGGCCGCAAGGCUAAAACUCAAAGGAAUUGACGGGG